This is a long non-coding RNA of Anguilla rostrata (American eel), 588 nucleotides long. RefSeq lists it as uncharacterized. The transcript has 2 exons. Lineage: Eukaryota; Metazoa; Chordata; Actinopteri; Anguilliformes; Anguillidae. The record is from RefSeq and is a predicted model, not a curated record.
GUGCUGGGUUGUUCUAACGUUAGGAACGUUGGCAUCUGCUAAAUUUUGAAAUGUAAUGCAUUGUAAAUACAUUGGCUAAUGUAUAGAUGCAUGAUGUUUAGUUGUAGCUGUGGAUUAGUAAAAAAAUAAAAUAAAUAAAAAAAACUGGCUUACUUCCAAACGCUCAAAGAGCAGUAUGACAGGCAGAGUACUAAAACAUACGGAGUAAUUAACGGAACUGAAACCCAAACGCACGGAGGACUCCUCGCUGCCUGUGCGCUUACUCUUUUCACGGCACCCCGAGGUUAAUGACUGGCGCUGCCGGGGCUGAAUGCUCCCCGCUGGCGGGGUGCCACUCGGUGGGUCACUCUGCAGAAGAGCGUCCGCUAAACGCCAUAGUAACUGCAGAGGGCCCGGCGCAGAGAGCGCUACGGUGUGGACUGCACACUACGAGCGCCAGGGCAGAGCGGGAGGACGCGCGCUCUUCAUCUGCAGUACCGCUGUCCUGCCUGCAGAGGGCAGAUCUGCGACGCAGCGGCCAACCCCCGACAAAAACCUCCAGGAAAUGGGAGGGGGGGAAAAAAUGUUUCUCUGAAAAAUAAAAACGGG